This 252-nucleotide ribosomal RNA is filed under the name uncultured bacterium. Its description in RNAcentral is "partial 16S ribosomal RNA". It matches the Rfam family "Bacterial small subunit ribosomal RNA", at positions 524 to 776 of the family's 1533-position model. The record is from RNAcentral.
GACGUAGGGCGCGAGCGUUGUCCGGAUUUAUUGGCGUAAAGAGCUCGUAGGCGGCUUGUCGCGUCGACUGUGAAAAUCCAGGGCUCAACCCUGGACCUGCAUUCGAUACGGGCAGACUAGAGUUCGGUAGGGGAGACUGGAAUUCCUGGUGUAGCGGUGAAAUGCGCAGAUAUCAGGAGGAACACCGGUGGCGAAGGCGGGUCUCUGGGCCGAAACUGACGCUGAGGAGCGAAAGCGUGGGGAGCAAACAGG